UGCAUAUCAAUAAGCGGAGGAAAAGAAACUAACAAGGAUUCCCCUAGUAACGGCGAGUGAAGCGGGAAGAGCUCAAAUUUGAAAUCUGGCGGCAUCCUGUCGUCCGAGUUGUAAUCUAUAGAAGUGUUUUCCGCGUCGGACCAUGUACAAGUCCCUUGGAACAGGGCGUCAUAGAGGGUGAGAAUCCCGUCCUUGACAUGAUCUCCGGUGCUAUGUGAUACACUUUCAACGAGUCGAGUUGUUUGGGAAUGCAGCUCAAAAUGGGUGGUGAAUUCCAUCUAAAGCUAAAUAUUGGCGAGAGACCGAUAGCGAACAAGUACCGUGAGGGAAAGAUGAAAAGCACUUUGGAAAGAGAGUUAAACAGUACGUGAAAUUGUUGAAAGGGAAACGAUUGAAGUCAGUCAUGCUCUUUGGGUUAAGCCUUUCGGGGUGUAUUCCAUUGAGUGGGGUCAACAUCAGUUUUGACCGCUGGAAAAAGGCACGAGGAAGGUAGCACUCUCGGGUGAACUUAUAGCCUCGCGUCAUAUACAGUGGUUGGGACUGAGGAACGCAGCAUGCCUUAUGGCCGGGAUUCGUCCACGUACAUGCUUAGGAUGUUGACAUAAUGGCUUUAAACGACCCGUCUUGAAACACGGACCA
This 639-nucleotide ribosomal RNA is filed under the name Naganishia sp. RNAcentral describes it as "LSU rRNA". It matches the Rfam family "Eukaryotic large subunit ribosomal RNA", at positions 37 to 668 of the family's 3401-position model. The record is from RNAcentral. Lineage: Eukaryota; Fungi; Basidiomycota; Tremellomycetes; Filobasidiales; Filobasidiaceae.